RNAcentral lists this transfer RNA (75 nucleotides) under Streptomyces phage Targaryen. Its description in RNAcentral is "tRNA-Arg". It matches the Rfam family "tRNA". Rfam says of the family: Transfer RNA (tRNA) molecules are approximately 80 nucleotides in length. Their secondary structure includes four short double-helical elements and three loops (D, anti-codon, and T loops). Lineage: Duplodnaviria; Heunggongvirae; Uroviricota; Caudoviricetes; Stanwilliamsviridae. The record is from RNAcentral.
CUCUCCAUAGGCUAAUUGGAUAAACCAGAGUGCUACGAACGCUCAAUUGUGGGUUCGAGUCCCGCUGGAGAGACC